CGUAUCACUUAAAGCGAUUCAGCGGGUUACGAUUGACGGAGCGAAGCGACGUCAAAGCGUAUACAAAGUCGAGUCGGUUUAAGGAUACGUUCGUUGGGUAGGGGAGCGUUCUGUAAGCCUGUGAAGGUGGCCUGUGAGGGUUGCUGGAGGUAUCAGAAGUGCGAAUGCUGACAUAAGUAACGAUAAAGCGGGUGAAAAGCCCGCUCGCCGGAAGACCAAGGGUUCCUGUCCAACGUUAAUCGGGGCAGGGUGAGUCGACCCCUAAGGCGAGGCCGAAAGGCGUAGUCGAUGGGAAACGGGUUAAUAUUCCCGUACUUGGUGUUACUGCGAAGGGGGGACGGAGAAGGCUAUGUUGGCCGGGCGACGGUUGUCCCGGUUUAAGCGUGUAGGUGUGUGUUCCAGGUAAAUCCGGUUCACUUUAACACUGAGGCGUGAUGACGAGGCACUACGGUGCUGAAGCAACAAAUGCCCUGCUUCCAGGAAAAGCCUCUAAGCAUCAGGUAACAUCAAAUCGUACCCCAAACCGACACAGGUGGUCAGGUAGAGAAUACCAAGGCGCUUGAGAGAACUCGGGUGAAGGAACUAGGCAAAAUGGUGCCGUAACUUCGGGAGAAGGCACGCUGACACGUAGGUGAAGUGAUUUACUCAUGGAGCUGAAGUCAGUCGAAGAUACCAGCUGGCUGCAACUGUUUAUUAAAAACACAGCACUGUGCAAACACGAAAGUGGACGUAUACGGUGUGACGCCUGCCCGGUGCCGGAAGGUUAAUUGAUGGGGUCAGCGCAAGCGAAGCUCCUGAUCGAAGCCCCGGUAAACGGCGGCCGUAACUAUAACGGUCCUAAGGUAGCGAAAUUCCUUGUCGGGUAAGUUCCGACCUGCACGAAUGGCGUAAUGAUGGCCAGGCUGUCUCCACCCGAGACUCAGUGAAAUUGAACUCGCUGUGAAGAUGCAGUGUACCCGCGGCAAGACGGAAAGACCCCGUGAACCUUUACUAUAGCUUGACACUGAACAUUGAGCCUUGAUGUGUAGGAUAGGUGGGAGGCUUUGAAGUGUGGACGCCAGUCUGCAUGGAGCCGACCUUGAAAUACCACCCUUUAAUGUUUGAUGUUCUAACGUGGACCCGUAAUCCGGGUUGCGGACAGUGUCUGGUGGGUAGUUUGACUGGGGCGGUCUCCUCCUAAAGAGUAACGGAGGAGCACGAAGGUUGGCUAAUCCUGGUCGGACAUCAGGAGGUUAGUGCAAUGGCAUAAGCCAGCUUGACUGCGAGCGUGACGGCGCGAGCAGGUGCGAAAGCAGGUCAUAGUGAUC
Molecule: ribosomal RNA, 1307 nt
Filed under: Salmonella enterica
Lineage: Bacteria; Pseudomonadati; Pseudomonadota; Gammaproteobacteria; Enterobacterales; Enterobacteriaceae
Description: partial 23S ribosomal RNA
Rfam family: Bacterial large subunit ribosomal RNA
Source: RNAcentral